RNAcentral lists this ribosomal RNA (979 nucleotides) under Stenostomum leucops. RNAcentral's name for it is "eukaryotic LSU rRNA". The stretch from base 524 to 677 matches the Rfam family "5.8S ribosomal RNA". The record is from RNAcentral. Lineage: Eukaryota; Metazoa; Platyhelminthes; Stenostomidae.
UUUAGUACUGCGGAGAUCUUUCGACUAUUGAACUUAUGUGUUCAUCUUGUUCUACUGUCGGUGGCGGCGUGCCUCACGGCGUGUCGUCGCCUAACAGUGCUGUUGUUGAAACGGCUUGGCGUGCUCUAGAGUGGCACAGCGCUGGCAGGGCCAGUUGGGGGCUUAAGCCAGUGUCUGCUGUCGUACGCGCCGAGCCAGAUACUUGACUACUGUGUCGAGGUGCCUAGAAGCACUCGUCUGUCACUGUCAAUGCACAUGCAGUGGCGCGAAGGACGGGGCGCAAGUGCCAGACUCGUGCGCUGUUACGCGAGUCGAGAGCGCAAGGCUCAAAGAGUCAGGCUCGAGCCAGCCGUUGCACACUACUUCGGCUGGCUGGCUCAGGCAUGCUGACGUGACUUUCGAGUUGCGCCAGUGUGUACUGCAGCUCCCAUCAUGAGACUGACCGCCUCACACCAACUCAUUCUCUUUUCUGAAUUACUCGUAAUAUUGAAAUCUUGUUGUUAAUUCACGGGAAUUGAUAUACAACUCUAGGCGGUGGAUCACUCGGCUCGUGCGUCGAUGAAGAGCGCAGCAAACUGCGUGAAGUAGUGUGAAUUGCAGGACACCUUGAUCAUCGACAUCUCGAACGCACCUUGCGGCCGAGGUUUCUAGCCUCGGCCACGUCUGUCUGAGGGUCGGCAUACUCUUAGGAGUAACCGCAGUGUAAUGCGGUUUGUUCAGCGGUUCAUCAGUGUGCGUAUUCGUACGCAACACGGAUGCCGUUGUAAAUUGUUGACUGCGCCAGCCUGCGUCGUUGCUUAUGCGCGGGUAUUUAAUUGGACUAGGCGUGCGUUGGCAGGUCUCUGUCGUUGCUUAUUGCAGAGAACUCGUCCUGUCGUUGCUUAUGCAGGCGAGCCAGCUGACGUGCAGACUUGGUCCAGGUGCACCAGUGAAGUAAUUGCCUACCAAUCACGGCUCAGAUCAGCGGAUCCAUCCAAGG